RNAcentral lists this ribosomal RNA (253 nucleotides) under uncultured prokaryote. Its description in RNAcentral is "partial 16S ribosomal RNA". It matches the Rfam family "Bacterial small subunit ribosomal RNA", at positions 524 to 776 of the family's 1533-position model. The record is from RNAcentral.
UACGGGGGGGGCAAGCGUUGUUCGGAAUUACUGGGCGUAAAGCGUGCGCAGGCGGUUCGCCAAGUCAGGUGUGAAAUCCCCGGGCUUAACCUGGGAAUUGCGCUUGAGACUAGCGGGCUUGAGUGCGGCAGAGGGGGGUGGAAUUCCACGUGUAGCAGUGAAAUGCGUAGAGAUGUGGAGGAACACCGAUGGCGAAGGCAGCCCCCUGGGUCAACACUGACGCUCAUGCACGAAAGCGUGGGGAGCAAACAGG